RNAcentral lists this ribosomal RNA (464 nucleotides) under Lacticaseibacillus paracasei. Its description in RNAcentral is "bacterial SSU rRNA". It matches the Rfam family "Bacterial small subunit ribosomal RNA", at positions 28 to 463 of the family's 1533-position model. The record is from RNAcentral. Lineage: Bacteria; Bacillati; Bacillota; Bacilli; Lactobacillales; Lactobacillaceae.
GAUGAACGCUGGCGGCGUGCCUAAUACAUGCAAGUCGAACGAGUUCUCGUUGAUGAUCGGUGCUUGCACCGAGAUUCAACAUGGAACGAGUGGCGGACGGGUGAGUAACACGUGGGUAACCUGCCCUUAAGUGGGGGAUAACAUUUGGAAACAGAUGCUAAUACCGCAUAGAUCCAAGAACCGCAUGGUUCUUGGCUGAAAGAUGGCGUAAGCUAUCGCUUUUGGAUGGACCCGCGGCGUAUUAGCUAGUUGGUGAGGUAAUGGCUCACCAAGGCGAUGAUACGUAGCCGAACUGAGAGGUUGAUCGGCCACAUUGGGACUGAGACACGGCCCAAACUCCUACGGGAGGCAGCAGUAGGGAAUCUUCCACAAUGGACGCAAGUCUGAUGGAGCAACGCCGCGUGAGUGAAGAAGGCUUUCGGGUCGUAAAACUCUGUUGUUGGAGAAGAAGGUCGGCAGAGUAA